This 601-nucleotide ribosomal RNA is filed under the name Vibrio sp. PID43_16. Its description in RNAcentral is "bacterial SSU rRNA". It matches the Rfam family "Bacterial small subunit ribosomal RNA", at positions 833 to 1433 of the family's 1533-position model. The record is from RNAcentral. Lineage: Bacteria; Pseudomonadati; Pseudomonadota; Gammaproteobacteria; Vibrionales; Vibrionaceae.
UGAGCCGUGGCUUUCGGAGCUAACGCCUUAAGUAGACCGCCUGGGGAGUACGGUCGCAAGAUUAAAACUCAAAUGAAUUGACGGGGGCCCGCACAAGCGGUGGAGCAUGUGGUUUAAUUCGAUGCAACGCGAAGAACCUUACCUACUCUUGACAUCCAGAGAAGCCAGUAGAGAUACAGGUGUGCCUUCGGGAACUCUGAGACAGGUGCUGCAUGGCUGUCGUCAGCUCGUGUUGUGAAAUGUUGGGUUAAGUCCCGCAACGAGCGCAACCCUUAUCCUUGUUUGCCAGCGAGUAAUGUCGGGAACUCCAGGGAGACUGCCGGUGAUAAACCGGAGGAAGGUGGGGACGACGUCAAGUCAUCAUGGCCCUUACGAGUAGGGCUACACACGUGCUACAAUGGCGCAUACAGAGGGCAGCCAACUUGCGAAAGUGAGCGAAUCCCAAAAAGUGCGUCGUAGUCCGGAUUGGAGUCUGCAACUCGACUCCAUGAAGUCGGAAUCGCUAGUAAUCGUGGAUCAGAAUGCCACGGUGAAUACGUUCCCGGGCCUUGUACACACCGCCCGUCACACCAUGGGAGUGGGCUGCAAAAGAAGUAGGUAG